RNAcentral lists this ribosomal RNA (310 nucleotides) under Cryptotermes colombianus. RNAcentral describes it as "partial 12S ribosomal RNA". Lineage: Eukaryota; Metazoa; Arthropoda; Insecta; Blattodea; Kalotermitidae. The record is from RNAcentral.
UCUAUUCUUUUCAGAGGAAUCUGUCCCUUAAUCGAUGCUCCGCGUUGGACCUUUCUUAAUUUAUGUUUGUAUACCGCCGUUGUGGUGAGGGUCUUUUUAGUGUUGUUAAUUCUCUGGCUUCAUUAUUUUGAUUUAUUUCAGGUCAAGGUGCAGCUUGUUUUUAAGUGUGAGGUGGAUUACAUUGUGUUGUUGAUAUUUAUCGGAUUAUUGAUUGGAACUGUUGAUAUGAAGUUGGAUUUGGUUGUAAUUUGUUGAAGAUUGUUUGUAUGAUGUUGGUUCUAGAAUAUGCACACAUCGCCCGUCAAUAUUA